Molecule: long non-coding RNA, 564 nt
Organism: Diachasma alloeum
Lineage: Eukaryota; Metazoa; Arthropoda; Insecta; Hymenoptera; Braconidae
Exons: 3
Source: RefSeq, a predicted model, not a curated record
CCCUAUAAUCUCUGCAUUUGCAUAUAAAAAAAGUGAGGUUAUGUCCCUCUCGCGAACCUGAAUGUUCCCCUGUCACGUACCUUUAAACAAUCUCCUGAAAAAUAUGACCCGAAGUCCAGUAUAUCAAGAAAAAUCUAUAAAGUCGAAUUAGCUGAAAACAUUCGAGGUUCACUGAGAAUUGAAGUUUUUGUAGCCAAUAGUUCGGGGGUCCAAGUUUUCACACAAAAGUCACCUGAGAGAAUGCCGAGAUUGAACCCCGCCUCUCAGGAGCUUCAGAGGGAAACGAAGAGUUUUGGGAAUGCCCAUGGCUCCAAGAGCUGACAAAAAAUGCAGUUAUCCACAAUGCCCUCCCCAUCGGGGGAGAGUAAUGAUGGUCAUAGGAUCUAAAUUGGAGAAGUGGAGUUGGAGUAAAACAAAUAACAGCAGAAAAAAAAUUGACGGAGGCGCAGUUUAAGCAGGAGAGACCUAUGAACAAAAUCAAGGGUCAGACCAAAAAGAAACUAACACUAGAAAUUAAUAGAAAAAUCUGUACUUUAUUUUGUAAAUAAAAUCAUUUCAUAUCAA